UACGAAGGGGGCAAGCGUUGUUCGGAAUUACUGGGCGUAAAGGGAGUGUAGGCGGUUUAGUAAGAUAGUGGUGAAAUCCCAGGGCUUAACUUUGGAAUUGCCAUUAUAACUAUUAGACUAGAAUUACAGAGAGGAUAGUGGAAUACCCAGUGUAGAGGUGAAAUUCGUAGAUAUUGGGUAGAACACCAGUGGCGAAGGCGACUAUCUGGCUGUACAUUGACGCUGAGGCUCGAAAGCAUGGGGAUCAAACAGG
RNAcentral lists this ribosomal RNA (253 nucleotides) under uncultured bacterium. RNAcentral describes it as "partial 16S ribosomal RNA". It matches the Rfam family "Bacterial small subunit ribosomal RNA", at positions 524 to 776 of the family's 1533-position model. The record is from RNAcentral.